RNAcentral lists this ribosomal RNA (252 nucleotides) under uncultured bacterium. Its description in RNAcentral is "partial 16S ribosomal RNA". It matches the Rfam family "Bacterial small subunit ribosomal RNA", at positions 524 to 776 of the family's 1533-position model. The record is from RNAcentral.
UACGUAGGGGGCAAGCGUUGUCCGGAUUUAUUGGGCGUAAAGAGCGUGUAGGCGGCUUGGUAGGUCUCGCGUCAAAACCUGAGGCUCAACCUCAGUUCGCGUGGGAAACCACCUAGCUAGAGUCCGGAAGAGGAGAGUGGAAUUCCUGGUGUAGCGGUGAAAUGCGCAGAUAUCAGGAAGAACACCAAUGGCGAAAGCAGCUCUCUGGGACGGUACUGACGCUGAGACGCGAAAGCGUGGGGAGCGAACAGG